GACGAACGCUGGCGGCGUGCCUAACACAUGCAAGUCGAGCGGGGUUGAAGCGAGGGGUAACUCGAACUUCUACCUAGCGGCGGACGGGUGAGUAACGCGUGGGCAACCUGCCCAUAAGAGGGGGAUAACAUCCGGAAACGGGUGCUAAUACCGCAUGGUUUUUGAUCGCAUGAUUGAGAAAGGAAGACGGCCUUUGUGCUGUCGCUUAUGGAUGGACCCGCGGCGUAUUAGUUAGUUGGUGAGGUAACGGCUCACCAAGACGAUG
This 265-nucleotide ribosomal RNA is filed under the name uncultured bacterium. RNAcentral's name for it is "partial 16S ribosomal RNA". It matches the Rfam family "Bacterial small subunit ribosomal RNA", at positions 28 to 278 of the family's 1533-position model. The record is from RNAcentral.